RNAcentral lists this ribosomal RNA (588 nucleotides) under uncultured archaeon. RNAcentral's name for it is "bacterial SSU rRNA". It matches the Rfam family "Archaeal small subunit ribosomal RNA", at positions 325 to 879 of the family's 1478-position model. The record is from RNAcentral.
ACGGGGUGCAGCAGGCGCGAAACCUUCACUAUGCAUUAGCGUGCGAUGAGGGAAUCUGAAGUGUUUAUGCUUUGCAUAAACUUUUUUCGAGUUGAAACAGCUCGGAGAAUAAGGGGUGGGCAAUACAAGUGCCAGCCGCCGCGGUAAUACUUGAGCCCCGAGUGGUAUCCGGUAUUAGUUGGUCUAAAGCGUCCGUAGCCGGUUUAAUAAGUUCCUGGUGAAAUUCACUGGAAAACUGGUGAGCUUGUCGGGAAUACUGUUAAACUUGGGAUCGGGAGAGGGUAGAGGUACUGCUGGGGAAGGGGUAAAAUCCUAUAAUCCUAGUGGGACCACCUGUGGCGAAGGCGUCUACCUAGAACGAGUCCGACGGUGAGGAACGAAACCUAGGGGAGCGAUCGGGAUUAGAUACAUUCGUGUAAUCUAUCCAAUUACCGGUGCUAAAAACCCCGGUAGUCCUAGGUGUAAACAAUGCCCACUUGGUGUUACAAACCUUACGAGGGUUUGUAGUGCCGGAGCGUAGGUGUUAAGUGGGCCACCUGGGGAGUACGACCGCAAGGUUGAAACUUAAAGGAAUUGGCGGGGGAGCAC